Molecule: ribosomal RNA, 467 nt
Filed under: uncultured bacterium
Lineage: Bacteria
Description: partial 16S ribosomal RNA
Rfam family: Bacterial small subunit ribosomal RNA
Source: RNAcentral
ACGAACGCUGGCGGCGGGCUUAACCCAUGCAAGUCGAAGGGAAAGGCCCGGCUUUGGUGGGGUGCUCGAGUGGCGAACGGGGGAUUAACACGUGAGUAACCUGCCCUUGACUUUGGGAUAACUUAAGGAAACUGGGGCGAAUACCGGAUAGGAGCUCCUGCUGCAUGGUGGGGGUUGGAAAGUUUCGGCGGUGGGGGAUGGACUCGCGGCUUAUCGGCUUGUUGGUGGGGUAGUGGCUUACCAAGGCUUUGACGGGUAGCCGGCCUGAGAGGGUGACCGGCCACAUUGGGACUGAGAUACGGCCCAGACUCCUACGGGAGGCAGCAGUGGGGAAUAUUGCACAAUGGGCGGAAGCCUGAUGCAGCAACGCCGCGUGCGGGAUGACGGCCUUCGGGUUGUAAACCGCUUUCGCCUGUGACGAAGCGUGAGUGACGGUAAUGGGUAAAGAAGCACCGGCUAACUACGUG